Molecule: ribosomal RNA, 481 nt
Filed under: uncultured bacterium
Lineage: Bacteria
Description: partial 16S ribosomal RNA
Rfam family: Bacterial small subunit ribosomal RNA
Source: RNAcentral
AUUGAACGCUGGCGGCAUGCUUUACACAUGCAAGUCGAACGGUAACAGCACUUCGGUGGCUGACGAGUGGCGAACGGGUGAGUAAUACAUCGGAACGUGCCUAGUAGUGGGGGAUAACUACUCGAAAGAGUAGCUAAUACCGCAUGAGAUCUAAGGUUGAAAGCAGGGGACCUUCGGGCCUUGCGCUACUAGAGCGGCUGAUGGCAGAUUAGGUAGUUGGUGGGAUAAAAGCUUACCAAGCCGACGAUCUGUAGCUGGUCUGAGAGGACGACCAGCCACACUGGGACUGAGACACGGCCCAGACUCCUACGGGAGGCAGCAGUGGGGAAUUUUGGACAAUGGGCUCAAGCCUGAUCCAGCAAUGCCGCGUGCAGGAUGAAGGCCUUCGGGUUGUAAACUGCUUUUGUACGGAACGAAAAGCCCUCUUCUAAUACAGGAGGGUCAUGACGGUACCGUAAGAAUAAGCACCGGCUAACUACGU